Triticum dicoccoides is the source of this 513-nucleotide long non-coding RNA. RefSeq lists it as uncharacterized. The transcript has 2 exons. NCBI's taxonomy places the organism in Eukaryota, Viridiplantae, Streptophyta, Magnoliopsida, Poales, Poaceae. The record is from RefSeq and is a predicted model, not a curated record.
GAGUUCCAAUAUUAUUUCUUUGUAGUUAUCAAGUAGGUUUUUUUUUGUAGAGUCAACGGUAUAUAGAUAUGCAUGAUAGCAUUAUUUGUUCAAAAUUACCCUUCAUCUUCGGACUAAAUUCUGAUGUGCAUAUUUUGUUUGCAGGAAAUAAAUAAUGUUGACUUCUUUGGACGAAAGUGAACAUGAUAGCUUGUGUUCUUUUCUACAUGAAAUAGUAAAAAAGGUGGAGGUGCGGGAAGAAAACAACAAGAAGAAGGAUUGUGGGAGGAAGUGGAGUGUCAUGUGGUGGCUGAGAAGAGGGAGGGGGCAUGAAGAUGACGAGGAGAUACAUUUAUCUACCACAUCAUGAGCAUGAGAUAUCAUCACAUGUAAAUAGUAUAUGGCUCAUGUCACACAGCCUUUCUUUUUGUAAAAACAUUUUGUUAGCACAUUUCUUGUUGUACAUAUAGUUUUUUUAGCAUGUGGCAACACAUGGGCAUCCAGCACUAUGUGAAUAAAUUCACUUUUGGUCCA